RNAcentral lists this ribosomal RNA (623 nucleotides) under uncultured archaeon. RNAcentral describes it as "bacterial SSU rRNA". It matches the Rfam family "Archaeal small subunit ribosomal RNA", at positions 147 to 776 of the family's 1478-position model. The record is from RNAcentral.
UAAUACUCCAUAGUUCGUUAUUACUGGAAUGUUUUUCGAACGAAAGAUCCGUCGCUUCAGGAUGAGUCUGCGGCCGAUUAGGUAGUUGUUGGGGUAAUUGCCCAACAAGCCUGUAAUCGGUACGGGUUGUGGGAGCAAGAGCCCGGAGAUGGAUUCUGAGACACGAAUCCAGGCCCUACGGGGCGCAGCAGGCGCGAAAACUUUACCAUGCGGGCAACCGUGAUAAGGAAACCCCGAGUGCCAGCACAGGCUGGCUGUCCGCCAGUUUAAACAACUGGCGAAGAAAGGGCCGGGCAAGACCGGUGCCAGCCGCCGCGGUAAUACCGGCGGCUCGAGUGGUGGCCGCUAUUACUGGGCUUAAAGGGUCCGUAGCUUGAUAAUAGGGUCCCUUGAGAAAUCCGCCGGCUUAACUGGCGGGCGUUCAGGGGGAACUUGUUUUCUAGGGACCGGGAGAGGUGAGGGGUACUGCCGGGGUAGGAGUGAAAUCCUGUAAUCCCGGUGGGACCACCUAUGGCGAAGGCAUCUCACCAGAACGGGUCCGACAGUGAGGGACGAAAGCUGGGGGAGCAAACCGGAUUAGAUACCCGGGUAGUCCCAGCUGUAACUAUGUGCGUUAGGUGUGU